This 468-nucleotide ribosomal RNA is filed under the name uncultured bacterium. Its description in RNAcentral is "partial 16S ribosomal RNA". It matches the Rfam family "Bacterial small subunit ribosomal RNA", at positions 28 to 507 of the family's 1533-position model. The record is from RNAcentral.
GACGAACGCUGGCGGCGUGCUUAACACAUGCAAGUCGAACGGAAAGGCCCUGCUUUUGUGGGGUGCUCGAGUGGCGAACGGGUGAGUAUCACGUGAGUAACCUGCCCUUGACUUUGGGAUAACUUCAGGAAACUGGGGCUAAUACCGGAUAGGAGCUCCUGCUGCAUGGUGGGGGUUGGAAAGUUUCGGCGGUUGGGGAUGGACUCGCGGCUUAUCAGCUUGUUGGUGGGGUAGUGGCUUACCAAGGCUUUGACGGGUAGCCGGCCUGCGAGGGUGACCGGCCACAUUGGGACUGAGAUACGGCCCAGACUCCUACGGGAGGCAGCAGUGGGGAAUAUUGCACGAUGGGCGGAAGCCUGAUGCAGCAACGCCGCGUGCGGGAUGACGGCCUUCGGGUUGUAAACCGCUUUCGCCUGUGACGAAGCGUGAGUGACGGUAAUGGGUAAAGAAGCACCGGCUAACUACGUG